Molecule: ribosomal RNA, 2776 nt
Filed under: Klebsiella oxytoca
Lineage: Bacteria; Pseudomonadati; Pseudomonadota; Gammaproteobacteria; Enterobacterales; Enterobacteriaceae
Description: bacterial LSU rRNA
Rfam family: Bacterial large subunit ribosomal RNA
Source: RNAcentral
AGCGUACACGGUGGAUGCCCUGGCAGUCAGAGGCGAUGAAGGACGUGCUAAUCUGCGAAAAGCGUCGGUAAGGUGAUAUGAACCGUUAUAGCCGGCGAUGUCCGAAUGGGGAAACCCAGUGCAAUUCGUUGCACUAUCGUUAACUGAAUACAUAGGUUAACGAGGCGAACCGGGGGAACUGAAACAUCUAAGUACCCCGAGGAAAAGAAAUCAACCGAGAUUCCCCCAGUAGCGGCGAGCGAACGGGGAGCAGCCCGGAGUCUGAAUCAGCUUGUGUGUUAGUGGAAGCGUCUGGAAAGUCGCAGGGUACAGGGUGAUACUCCCGUACACUAAAACACACAGGCUGUGAACUCGAAGAGUAGGGCGGGACACGUGGUAUCCUGUCUGAAUAUGGGGGGACCAUCCUCCAAGGCUAAAUACUCCUGACUGACCGAUAGUGAACCAGUACCGUGAGGGAAAGGCGAAAAGAACCCCGGCGAGGGGAGUGAAAAAGAACCUGAAACCGUGUACGUACAAGCAGUAGGAGCCCACUAGUUGGGUGACUGCGUACCUUUUGUAUAAUGGGUCAGCGACUUAUAUUCUGUAGCAAGGUUAACCGAAUAGGGGAGCCGCAGGGAAACCGAGUCUUAACUGGGCGUUAAGUUGCAGGGUAUAGACCCGAAACCCGGUGAUCUAGCCAUGGGCAGGUUGAAGGUUGGGUAACACUAACUGGAGGACCGAACCGACUAAUGUUGAAAAAUUAGCGGAUGACUUGUGGCUGGGGGUGAAAGGCCAAUCAAACCGGGAGAUAGCUGGUUCUCCCCGAAAGCUAUUUAGGUAGCGCCUCGUGAACUCAUCUUCGGGGGUAGAGCACUGUUUCGGCUAGGGGGUCAUCCCGACUUACCAACCCGAUGCAAACUACGAAUACCGAAGAAUGUUAUCACGGGAGACACACGGCGGGUGCUAACGUCCGUCGUGAAGAGGGAAACAACCCAGACCGCCAGCUAAGGUCCCAAAGUCAUGGUUAAGUGGGAAACGAUGUGGGAAGGCCCAGACAGCCAGGAUGUUGGCUUAGAAGCAGCCAUCAUUUAAAGAAAGCGUAAUAGCUCACUGGUCGAGUCGGCCUGCGCGGAAGAUGUAACGGGGCUAAACCAUGCACCGAAGCUGCGGCAGCGACGCUUAUGCGUUGUUGGGUAGGGGAGCGUUCUGUAAGCCGUUGAAGGUGGCCUGUGAGGGUUGCUGGAGGUAUCAGAAGUGCGAAUGCUGACAUAAGUAACGAUAAUGCGGGUGAAAAACCCGCACGCCGGAAGACCAAGGGUUCCUGUCCAACGUUAAUCGGGGCAGGGUGAGUCGACCCCUAAGGCGAGGCCGAAAGGCGUAGUCGAUGGGAAACAGGUUAAUAUUCCUGUACUUGGUGUUACUGCGAAGGGGGGACGGAGAAGGCUAUGUUGGCCGGGCGACGGUUGUCCCGGUUUAAGCAUGUAGGCGGAUGUUCCAGGUAAAUCCGGAACGUUAUUAACGCUGAGGUGUGAUGACGAGGCACUACGGUGCUGAAGUGACAAAUGCCCUGCUUCCAGGAAAAGCCUCUAAGCAUCAGGUAACAUCAAAUCGUACCCCAAACCGACACAGGUGGUCAGGUAGAGAAUACCAAGGCGCUUGAGAGAACUCGGGUGAAGGAACUAGGCAAAAUGGUGCCGUAACUUCGGGAGAAGGCACGCUGAUGGUANGUGAAGUGACUUGCUCAUGGAGCUGAAAUCAGUCGAAGAUACCAGCUGGCUGCAACUGUUUAUUAAAAACACAGCACUGUGCAAACACGAAAGUGGACGUAUACGGUGUGACGCCUGCCCGGUGCCGGAAGGUUAAUUGAUGGGGUUAUCCUCGCGGAGAAGCUCUUGAUCGAAGCCCCGGUAAACGGCGGCCGUAACUAUAACGGUCCUAAGGUAGCGAAAUUCCUUGUCGGGUAAGUUCCGACCUGCACGAAUGGCGUAAUGAUGGCCAGGCUGUCUCCACCCGAGACUCAGUGAAAUUGAACUCGCUGUGAAGAUGCAGUGUACCCGCGGCAAGACGGAAAGACCCCGUGAACCUUUACUAUAGCUUGACACUGAACACUGGUCCUUGAUGUGUAGGAUAGGUGGGAGGCUUUGAAGUGUGGACGCCAGUCUGCAUGGAGCCGUCCUUGAAAUACCACCCUUUAAUGGCUGGUGUUCUAACGUGGGCCCGUGAUCCGGGUUGCGGACAGUGUCUGGUGGGUAGUUUGACUGGGGCGGUCUCCUCCUAAAGAGUAACGGAGGAGCACGAAGGUCAGCUAAUCCUGGUCGGACAUCAGGAGGUUAGUGCAAUGGCAUAAGCUGGCUUGACUGCGAGCGUGACGGCGCGAGCAGGUGCGAAAGCAGGUCAUAGUGAUCCGGUGGUUCUGAAUGGAAGGGCCAUCGCUCAACGGAUAAAAGGUACUCCGGGGAUAACAGGCUGAUACCGCCCAAGAGUUCAUAUCGACGGCGGUGUUUGGCACCUCGAUGUCGGCUCAUCACAUCCUGGGGCUGAAGUAGGUCCCAAGGGUAUGGCUGUUCGCCAUUUAAAGUGGUACGCGAGCUGGGUUUAGAACGUCGUGAGACAGUUCGGUCCCUAUCUGCCGUGGGCGCUGGAGAAUUGAGGGGGGCUGCUCCUAGUACGAGAGGACCGGAGUGGACGCAUCACUGGUGUUCGGGUUGUCAUGCCAAUGGCAUUGCCCGGUAGCUAAAUGCGGAAGAGAUAAGUGCUGAAAGCAUCUAAGCACGAAACUUGCCCCGAGAUGAGUUCU